Molecule: long non-coding RNA, 7102 nt
Filed under: Malus domestica (apple)
Lineage: Eukaryota; Viridiplantae; Streptophyta; Magnoliopsida; Rosales; Rosaceae
Description: long non-coding RNA (MDOM_LNC017248)
Source: RNAcentral
CCAGUUUCCUUUGCCGUCGCCGGAGCACCAACCAACCAUCCACCAAGAACCAACUUCCCUUGUAGAUGUUGAAGAUCCAACAAGGCAACAACCCAGAAAUGAAAAGAAGAAGGCUCCAUCUACCUGCAACAAGAACCAUAAAUAUCCAAAUCGCAACCACAAAGGAAAGGAAGCCAGUGGGAAAUUCCACAAGCGGCAGUGCCGAGAAUUGCAGACAACUGGAUAAUGGUGGUGUAAACACUCCAGCCGGAGCUCUAUCCACCAUCCGAUAAACCCACAAACGCGAAGAAGGGAAGCAUUUACAAAUAUGAAAUUUUUUGGGAGUGAAGAAGACUGAGCCAAUUGGUAUAGGUAGAAGAUGGAUUGAUUAGAACUAUGGAGGUUAAAAAACAGUAGGAAGAAGAUGACGGGGAAGGUCUGAAUUUUGACAAAGUUAUUUACUAAUUAAUUACUUGAUAAUACUUGAAUUCUCCCUGCAGACAACACUUUAUCGUAGUAACAAAAAAUAAUUAGAUUUAUGCGACUUGAUACGGGUUCGAUUUUCACUCAUAGUACUCCUUCCCCUUCUAUAAGAACUAAUUAAUUAACCUAUUAACGUUAUCACUCUACUAAAAAUCACUUGUAUCCUCUCUUUGGAUGUACUCAUUUCCAAAGAGGAAAUACAAGUAUUAUUCUAUUAUAAUAGUAGGAUUUGUUAGACAUAAUUGUUUAACCCCCCCUAAGCAGGCUAUACAAGAUAAUACAUUUUCUAGUUCAUCAACUAUAAGGUAAUAACAAAUACAACUGAAUAUCCAGGUGCCAUUAGCACAUUGGUUUAUGUUACAUAAGUUUGCCAUGUUGUAAUAAGUUGGAUUGAAUAAGAUUGGAUUGCAUUGCCACAUAGGCUUGGUAAUUAUCACUGUACUAGUAUACAUACACUUUUGUACUGCCUUCGUUCAUUAAUUGGAAACUUUAGUGAUUCCUGAGUCUCUCUUACUUUCUUCUUUUGCUAUUCAUCUUUUUCUACAGAAUUACAGAUUUAUAACUCUAAUUCAGUACUGUUAGGAUAAGGAGUGCUAAUUCAUUUGACUAAAAUACGUGUUGGUUAUUUCUAACUCCUAGUAAUCAUUAUUUCAGUGAAAUUAAUGAGGUAGCACCAGCAACAUCAAUUUCCAACCCUUGUCACUUGUUAUAUAUACAUUUUGCCAGAACAACUCUGUAUGUAAAUGAAUAUUCUUUUUAGAACCUCAGUAGUACGAGUAAAUUUUAUUAAUAAUAUAUUAACAACACUUACUAAUACUAACAUAUCGAUACACACCAGUUUUGUUUUAAUUAGCAAAGUCUAGCGAUUUGAAUCUUCAAGUGCAUGCACAAGAGAAAAAAAUGGACAACUUCCAUAUUUGAUAAGAUGAGUAAUUUAGAUGGUAAUAAAUCAACACACAAAUUAUAUCCUCGUUGAUCAUGAGAAGAAACUAGUUGAAUCUAAGGAAUUUGGUAGAGGGGGACUUGUUUGACUGCAAAGUCGAUUAAAAUUUUUUUGUUCACCAAUGAAAUUGGAAGGGAAAGGCAUACAAAUAAUCCAAGGCAAAGAGAGAAAACAAAGGGCUAAUGUUAAUGUUGAUCACAUGAUAAAUUAGUUAUCAUAUUAAUUUUAUAUACAUUACAGAAAAUUCAGAGAUCUAAAAUUAACGAUCAAUUUGUUGCGAAAAAUUACAAAUCCCUUCAGGCUACAGUCUACAAGUUGUUCAACCAUGGCCAACGAUUUCUUGCUUAUCAAAAUUGAAAGAGUGGUUGAAUGGAUGAUCAAUUGGGACCCCAGCAGCUGAGGUACAUGACUUUCCUGAGAGACUCCUCAGACUGCUUUAUCUUCUCAUCUUGUCUAACUUGAAUUGAGAUCAAAGCAGAAGAUGGGGAAGAGAACUUGUUGGCCUGAGAAAACGACCCAAGUUGGUUCUUGGCAUGCUGCUGCAGUAAUCUCAUAGUAUAAUUCCACCUGCAGAUCCCCUGGUCUUUCAAGGCCUCCACAACUCCAACACUUGCUGCCACUACCCAACCUCUCCUUGCUGCUGCUGAUGAAAUAGUCAUAUUUUCUAUCUGUAUAUAUUUUUUAACAAAUAACUCUUGAUGGAAAUUGCAAGUGAAGAAAACUGAUGUUUGUUUGAUGUGUUUGAAUUUUGAUUUGGUGAAGAAAAUGGUGAGUGGGUGUUGCUUUUAUAUGGAGUAACACUUCAACUAAAUUCAUGAAUGUAGGAGGAAAGUGGAAGCCCAUAUAAUGUGGGAAAAACCAUGGGAAGCCAAUGGUUUACUUAGCUGGUCAGACUCACUCAUUGACAGAGGAGACAAACUUAGGUUGGGUAGGACCAAGCAAAGGCACACGGUUUUCCUUUAAAAAAAUCCAUUUAAGCCUCAAGUAUGGGAGGAGAUACCACUUGUUUUACUUUAUGGAGCUAAAACAGGGACUCGGUUUUUUUUUUUUUUUUUUUUUUUUAAAUAAGAAUUAGAGAUGUCAUUGUUAAAAGAAGUUGAGAUUUAUAUCAUAAAACUAAUUGGUAUUCUAACUCGAUUUUUCAUAAGUACAUGCAGGGUUUAUUUUAUUUUAUUUUUAUGUGAGAUUCUUCCCCCCAACAAUUUUCCUAAAUUAGAGAAUGGUUAUUAGAAAAUAUUUAGGUUUGAGUCUCAUACUAAAUGCCUAAAAGGGAUAAAACCAUGAAACAAACUAGUAAAGUCAUCCAAUCUGAUACUAAAUGCCUAAAUUGCGUUGGACUGGAUUCUCACUAGUAAAGUCAUCCAAUCUGAUUCAAUCAUGUUGGUUUGAAAUUUAGGGAUCCAAAACCAUUAAAAUCGGAUUGAACCAGAUUGGAUCAGUCGGUUUGGGAGGUUUGAAAGGGAUCUUCAACACCCCUACAAUCGUGGCUAAUCUUCUGUCCUAGUUCAGACUAUGUUUCUAUUUCUGUUCUUUUGAUCUAAUGGAAAGUUUUUGCUCCCUUUUCUUUUGGUAUGGUUGGAUGUUGCUAAUUCUUCACUCUUUUGGUAUGGUUGAACGUCUUGCCAGCGACCACGGAGGCAGCCACACUGGAGCAAACGAGAUACAAACAAUUUUGUCUCAAAUUUGAAAAUCACCUAACUACGUUCAGCAACAUUUCAAGGAAAGUGAGAGUAUAAUAGGCGCUUUUGUCAAUCCAUCAUAGCACCAUUUUUUGUGGGGGCAAUAUUUAAACUUCAAUUUCCAUAAGAGCCCUUCUUCAAAUGUACCGUUGUGAAAAUAAAAAAAUUCAACUCAAUAGUGAUCAGCAAUUCUCAGAUUUAUAUGUUUGAUUUACAUGGCAAUUGUCAUAACAUAACAAAAUUUACAUCAAUUUGCCAGGACCUAGCAGACAUCAAUUGCCUGCCACUUACGAUCCCAAACGAUAGCCUUUGCUAAUAACUUAAGGACCCCUUCAUGGGGUGUUCCAUCAGCAAGCGCUUACACAAAAACAUGCAAUCUUAAUUUGCUCUUGUUUCUGUGAAUGAAUAAUUGAUUAGUUGUUGGGACCCCAGCAGCUGAGGUACAUGACUGUCCUCAAAGACUCCUCUGAUUUCUUCAUCUUCUCAUCUCUCACUUUACUCAGAACUGAAGCAGAAGGAGAAGAGAGCUUGCUGUUGGCCUGAGAAAAUGACCUCACUUGGCUCUUGGCUUGUUGGCCUACAUAUCUCAAAGCAGAGUUCCAUCUGCAAAUCCCUUGGUCCUUGAGUGCCUCCACAACUCCAACACUUGCUGCCACUAUAGCCUUGCUUGCACUUGAUGAACUCAUGAUUUCUUUUCUCUCCUUUGGGUAUUCUGAAUUCUUUUGGUAGUGAUUGUGAAUGUUUAAGUGUUUGAUGAAGGAUAUGAGCAUGAAGCGCUCUUUAUAUGGGAACUAGAAAGGGUGGGCCUUUCCACCAAUUACUAGAGGCGGUUUAGAGUGUAAAGCCAAUGGUAUAUAUAUUUCUUUUCUUGUCUUUUUGUCACACUCAUUACCACUAACUAUACAAAUGAGCACACGGUUUUCCUUAUCAAAUCCACCUAAGCCUCAGGUAUGGGAGGAAACACCACCUGCUUUUGUUUGUUACAGUGAAAAUGUGAAUGUAUAUACAGAUAAAAUGUCAAUAGCAUGUCAAUUAAAGUAACACGUAUUAAUACUAACAUAUCGAUACACACUAGGUUUUUUUUUUUUAACAAAUUCUAGCUACUUGAAUCUUUAAGUGCAUGAACCAGAGAAAAAAUGGAUAACUUCCAUAUUUGGAAAAUGAGUAAUUUUGAUGAUAAUAAAUCAACACAGUAAUUAUAUCCUCAUCCAUGAGAAGAAACUAGUUGAAUGUAAGGAAUUUGUAAGGGUGGGCCUUUCCACCAGUAACUAGAGGCGGUUUAGGGAGUGUAAAGCCAAUGGUAUAUAUUUCUUUUCUUCUCCUUCUGUCACACUCAUUGCCACUAACUAUACAAAUGAGCACACGGUUUUCCUUAUAAAAUCCAACUAAGCCUCAGGUAUGGGAGGAAACACCACUUGUUUUUGUUUGUUUUAGUGGGAAAUUGUCAAACUGUUUCCAAGACAAGAUAAUCUAUUCAGCUAAACAACUAUAUCCUUUUUUUUUUUUGGGAUAAAAAUUAAUUAACUCAGAUUUCAAAGAUUUUAGAUUUCAUUUUUCUAAAUAGUACUAUCCAUACAUCAUUUUUUACCUUAUACUCACUUUUAUUAGUUUUUGUUCAUUAAUCUUUUUCAUUCAUUCGAUCCAAUAGCUGGAAAUUAAGAGAGUGUAUGAGAGGUAAAAUUUGGUGUAUGGAUAGCACUACCCUUCUUAUAAAUAAAUAUCUAAGAAAAUUGCUACUAAAAAUUACUUAGAAAACAAACUUAUUGAGAGAAUAAAUCUUACAUCAAGUAAAAUAAGUCUUAUUUGAUAGUUUAAAUGAUUUUGGCAUCUCUCCCUUAUUGUGAGUUGUGUUCGGAUGGAUACUCACAUUCUAAUAUGAAAUCAAAGCAGGCUAUGCACUUGUUGAGUCAAGGGUCUACGUGCCCACACGUUAGCUAAUUAAUGUGGCCCACGUGCUAGACUUAAAAUGACCCCACACUUCUUUGUCAAUAAUUGCGAUAUCAUCAAAAAGUGGUGUAGUCUUUUUCGCGUGAUGCCUUUAUAGUAUUUCUCCGGCUGGAUUUGGAUUCUCCGGGUGGUGUAGUCUUUUUGAUGAGUUUGCAAUUGCAGUAUUUCUUAUAGCAUGAGUGGCCUCUCAUUCCUGAUCGAGAAAUUUCUCAUGUGGUUCUUCUUAAGCAAGGCUUCUUGUUGAGGAAUAAAUGUUAUUAUUCACUUUAUGAUGAUACCUGCCUUCACUUCUUCGAUUUUCAAGUGGUUCGCCUUUUGAUUUCAAGUGAUUUUACCCUGAAAUAAUUCUAGCCUUUCUUAAAUUACUUUCAAGCAUGUCCAGUCAGUCCAGUCAUUUAGCUACAAGCUUCAUACUUAAAUACUCCUGACUGCUCAAAUAGUCUUAAACAAUUUUAACUAUCUGAGUGGGCUUAAAUAUUCUUAACUACCUAAACAGGCUCCAAAUUACGUGUCCAAAUAGAAAUUACCUAACUACGUUGAUAAAUUUCAAUGGAAGAGAGUAUACUGUAUGCAUUUCUGUCGCUCCAUGUCAUAGUACCAACUUUGGUGGGAAAUUUUACACAAUGUCAAUGAUUUCCGGAGUUCUUGCAUUCUCUCAUCAUCGCCCAUAUAUUGCGUAUGCUUGCACAGGCCUAUAAAUUUUGAAUAAAAAACGUUUGAAUACUGGCAAAUUUAACGCCAUUAUAGGAUGAUAAAUGUUCCACUCAGGACAAAGUAACUAGUAGCUAAGUGUGUCCUCUGCGGAGUCCAGGGUGAAUCUACAAUUCACCUUAUCCGCGAUUGUGCAUUUGCUAAGUGUGUCUGGCUUGCUACUCCGAUUGGUAUCCCUCCUUCUCCGCCUUAUGUCCUCUCGAUGUUGGAUUGGAUUCUGAGUUGGACUUCUCACCUCAAUCCAUCGAACUUUGCUCUUGGUUUAAUGGUGCUUUGGGCAAUCUGGGGUGCACGAAAUAACCAUCUCUGGAAUGACUGUAUGGACUCUCCUGACAUCAUCGCUGCUUGGGGUCUCUCUUGGUGGCAAAAGUUCCAGAGAGUUGCUCCCCCCCCCCCUCCCUGAGACUCGCUACUCGUCACCAAGUCCCUCAUAGGUCGUCCCGCCCUCCUGCCCAUUUCCUUCAAGCUAGGGGGUUUUCAAAACAAUAUCCUCGAGAGUGAUUCAUUCCAGAUUGUGACGCAUCUACAUAAUUCUUCCAAUUAUUUUUCCGACAUUGGACUCUUCCAACUAUUUGUCCGACAUUGGACUCUUAAUUGAAGACUCGCGUGUGAUCCUGUCUUCAACCACUAGAGCUUAUGCUACCAUGUUCGUCGCCAAGUCAAUCGUAUUGCUCAUCGCCUUGCACGGUUUGCCUUUACUUCAAGUUCGUCAUGUAACUGGUUUGAGAAACCUCCGGACCUCAUCUCAAAUUUACUGUUUGACGAAGCUGUUUUGUAAUUGACGUAGGGCUUUGUAACUCUGUUUUUGAAAUGAAAUGAAUCUAUCGAGUACUUUUUCAGAAAAAGAAAAAAAAAAAACAACUACUGGCUAAAGAUGAAAAAAAGAAACGAGAUCAAGGUAGAAAUUCUCAGCAACAAUUUCUGUUCUAUAUGGUGAUUGUUACAACGAAACAAAAUUUACAUCAAUUAGCCCCAAGCAAACAUCAUCAUUUGCCGUAAUUUACAACCCUAAUCUUUGCUCUUGCUUUUGCGAAUGAAUCAUUCAAUUAAUUGUUGGGACCCCAGCAGCUCAAAAACAUGACUGUCCUCAAAGACUCCUCUGAUUUCUUGAGCUUCUCAUCUCUCACUUUACUCAGAGCUGAAGCAGAAGGAGAAGAGAGUUUGUUGUUAGCCUGAGAAAAUGAUCUCACUUGGCUCUUGGCUUGUUGGCCUGCAUAUCUCAAAGCAGAGUUCCAUCUGCAAAUCCCUUGGUCCUUGAGUGCCUCCACAACUCCAACACUUGCUGCCACUAUAGCCUUGCUUGCACUUGAACUCAUGAUUUCUUCUCUCUCCUUUCGAUAUUCUGAAUUCUUUUGGCAGU